CCUAGUAGCGGCGAGCGAAGCGGGAAGAGCUCAAAUUUAUAAUCUGGCACCUUCGGUGUCCGAGUUGUAAUCUCUAGAAAUGUUUUCCGCGUUGGACCGCACACAAGUCUGUUGGAAUACAGCGGCAUAGUGGUGAGACCCCCGUAUAUGGUGCGGACGCCCAGCGCUUUGUGAUACAUUUUCGAAGAGUCGAGUUGUUUGGGAAUGCAGCUCAAAUUGGGUGGUAAAUUCCAUCUAAAGCUAAAUAUUGGCGAGAGACCGAUAGCGAACAAGUACCGUGAGGGAAAGAUGAAAAGCACUUUGGAAAGAGAGUUAACAGUACGUGAAAUUGUUGGAAGGGAAACGCUUGAAGUCAGACUUGCUUGCCGAGCAAUCGGUUUGCAGGCCAGCAUCAGUUUUCCGGGAUGGAUAAUGGUAGAGAGAAGGUAGCAGUUUCGGCUGUGUUAUAGCUCUCUGCUGGAUACAUCUUGGGGGACUGAGGAACGCAGUGUGCCUUUGGCGGGGGUUUCGACCUCUUCACACUUAGGAUGCUGGUGGAAUGGCUUUAAACGACCCGUCUUGAAACACGGACCAAGGAGUCUAACAUGCUUGCGAGUAUUUGGGUGUCAAACCCGGAUGCGUAAUGAAAGUGAAUGGAGGUGGGAACCGCAAGGUGCACCAUCGACCGAUCUGGAUUUUUAAUGAUGGAUUUGAGUAAGAGCACGUAUGUUGGGACCCGAAAGAUGGUGAACUAUGCCUGAAUAGGGCG
Molecule: ribosomal RNA, 748 nt
Filed under: Rhodotorula mucilaginosa
Lineage: Eukaryota; Fungi; Basidiomycota; Microbotryomycetes; Sporidiobolales; Sporidiobolaceae
Description: eukaryotic LSU rRNA
Rfam family: Eukaryotic large subunit ribosomal RNA
Source: RNAcentral